AUUUGAUGAUGCGGACAUUGUAUUUGUAACUCUCCAAACCUUUCCCAAAGAUUCAUAAAAUUCUUCAUUAUGUUUUUGUUGAAAAGCUUGAAUUUUAUUUGUUAACUC
Non-coding RNA from Thalictrum thalictroides, 108 nucleotides. Lineage: Eukaryota; Viridiplantae; Streptophyta; Magnoliopsida; Ranunculales; Ranunculaceae. The record is from the annotation of a GenBank genome assembly.